CCACACAAGGCAGCCAUGGGUGGCUGUGGUGCAGCCGUGACCAGCACGGAAGCCAGAUUGCAUAGCGGAAAGGACACGAUGGGAUUCAAUAUGGUUGGU
Long non-coding RNA from Sander lucioperca (pikeperch), 99 nucleotides. RefSeq lists it as uncharacterized. The record is from RefSeq and is a predicted model, not a curated record. Lineage: Eukaryota; Metazoa; Chordata; Actinopteri; Perciformes; Percidae. The transcript is spliced from 3 exons.